CCCUUGCCUGACUUGGUUCAUGGUGAUGGUGACGUGGUGUUUCCGAUAGGGAAUGGCGAGUCUAGCAAGGUGGGCAGUGGUGUCAUCCUAGAAGACAGUGGCGUCAGCACAAUGGAGGGGGCAGCAUUAGGUGGUGAUGGAUGAAGAGGAGAGGAGACUGUUGGUGAUAGGGGGCGCCUCCAUGAGAGAGUAGAGCGUGGGGCCUUGUUGCAGAGGGAGAUGCGAAGG
Molecule: long non-coding RNA, 228 nt
Filed under: Elaeis guineensis (African oil palm)
Lineage: Eukaryota; Viridiplantae; Streptophyta; Magnoliopsida; Arecales; Arecaceae
Description: long non-coding RNA (EGUI_LNC051634)
Source: RNAcentral